UGAAGAACGCAGCGAACUGCGAUAAGUAAUGUGAAUUGCAGAAUUCAGUGAAUCAUCGAGUCUUUGAACGCACAUUGCGCCCCCUGGCAUUCCGGGGGGCAUGCCUGUCCGAGCGUCAUUGCUGCCCUUCAAGCCCGGCUUGUGUGUUGGGUCGUCGUCCCCCCCGGGGGACGGGCCCGAAAGGCAGCGGCGGCACCGCGUCCGGUCCUCGAGCGUAUGGGGCUUUGUCACCCGCUCGAUUAGGGCCGGCCGGGCGCCAGCCGGCGUCUCCAACCUUCUAUUUUACCAGGUUGACCUCGGAUCAGGUAGGGAUACCCGCUGAACUUAAGCAUAUCAAUAAGCGGAGGA
Molecule: unclassified non-coding RNA, 348 nt
Filed under: soil metagenome
Description: partial contains 5.8S ribosomal RNA, internal transcribed spacer 2, and large subunit ribosomal RNA
Rfam family: 5.8S ribosomal RNA (bases 1-118)
Source: RNAcentral